UUGAGCCCUGCCCUCACGGGUAGACCUCCAACCCUGUGUAUUUAUACCUUUGUUGCUUCGGCAGGCCGUCUAGGUUUCGGCCUGGCUAUGGGCUUCGGCUCGUAAGCGCCUGCCAGAAGACAUUCAAACUCUGUAAUCAGUGUCGUCUGAGUACUAUAUAAUAGUUA
This 167-nucleotide unclassified non-coding RNA is filed under the name uncultured Helotiales. Its description in RNAcentral is "sequence contains ITS1". The record is from RNAcentral. Lineage: Eukaryota; Fungi; Ascomycota; Leotiomycetes; Helotiales.